RNAcentral lists this unclassified non-coding RNA (394 nucleotides) under Megistostigma peltatum. RNAcentral describes it as "partial external transcribed spacer". Lineage: Eukaryota; Viridiplantae; Streptophyta; Magnoliopsida; Malpighiales; Euphorbiaceae. The record is from RNAcentral.
CAUGCCCAUGCAUCGAACUGCCGAAUUUCGAUCUCCUCAUAUCAGAGCCGACGCUUGCGCCUCGGGCGCCGUGGGCGAAUUUCGGGUCCCUGCGUUGCGAACCCACCGAAGCGGAAGUCGGUUGUGUUGCUGUGCUAUUCUCGCCUCACUCCUGCCAAGGGCGUGUGGUGAGCGUGGAGGCACCUCCCUUGCUCCGAACAUGUCUAUUCGACUGCCACGGUGCAUCGGAAAGGUCGCCCGUGCUUUCCGGGAUGCCGAAAACCUUUACGUGGCGCGUGGGAUCCGUUCCCUCCGUUGCCCGAAACGUCCCUGAUAUCCGAACGACGUGUCGGCCCCGCGCCCCCUCCCCGUCAUGCCGGGGAUGGGAGCGGGCGCCGGGCUCGUGAAGGAAUGC